Molecule: ribosomal RNA, 871 nt
Filed under: Chryseobacterium sp.
Lineage: Bacteria; Pseudomonadati; Bacteroidota; Flavobacteriia; Flavobacteriales; Weeksellaceae
Description: bacterial SSU rRNA
Rfam family: Bacterial small subunit ribosomal RNA
Source: RNAcentral
ACUAUGAAACUGCCAUUGAUACUGCAGGUCUUGGGUAAAUUUAAAGUGGCUGGAAUAAGUAGUGUAGCGGUGAAAUGCAUAGAUAUUACUUAGAACACCAAUUGCGAAGGCAGGUCACUAAGAUUUAACUGACGCUGAGGGACGAAAGCGUGGGGAGCGAACAGGAUUAGAUACCCUGGUAGUCCACGCCGUAAACGAUGCUAACUCGUUUUUGGAUUUUCGGAUUCAGAGACCAAGCGAAAGUGAUAAGUUAGCCACCUGGGGAGUACGUCCGCAAGGAUGAAACUCAAAGGAAUUGACGGGGGCCCGCACAAGCGGUGGAUUAUGUGGUUUAAUUCGAUGAUACGCGAGGAACCUUACCAAGACUUAAAUGGGAAAUGACAGAUUUAGAAAUAGAUCCUUCUUCGGACAUUUUUCAAGGUGCUGCAUGGUUGUCGUCAGCUCGUGCCGUGAGGUGUUAGGUUAAGUCCUGCAACGAGCGCAACCCCUGUCACUAGUUGCUAACAUUCAGUUGAGGACUCUAGUGAGACUGCCUACGCAAGUAGAGAGGAAGGUGGGGAUGACGUCAAAUCAUCACGGCCCUUACGUCUUGGGCCACACACGUAAUACAAUGGCCGGUACAGAGGGCAGCUACACAGCGAUGUGAUGCAAAUCUCGAAAGCCGGUCUCAGUUCGGAUUGGAGUCUGCAACUCGACUCUAUGAAGCUGGAAUCGCUAGUAAUCGCGCAUCAGCCAUGGCGCGGUGAAUACGUUCCCGGGCCUUGUACACACCGCCCGUCAAGCCAUGGAAGUUUGGGGUACCUGAAGUCGGUGACCGAAAAGGAGCUGCCUAGGGUAAAACAAGUAACUAGGGCGAAGUCGUACAGGGUAC